RNAcentral lists this unclassified non-coding RNA (164 nucleotides) under Basidiomycota sp. RNAcentral's name for it is "partial contains small subunit ribosomal RNA, internal transcribed spacer 1, and 5.8S ribosomal RNA". The stretch from base 1 to 47 matches the Rfam family "Eukaryotic small subunit ribosomal RNA", at positions 1785 to 1831 of the family's 1831-position model. Lineage: Eukaryota; Fungi; Basidiomycota. The record is from RNAcentral.
AAAGUCGUAACAAGGUUUCCGUAGGUGAACCUGCGGAAGGAUCAUUACCAUGAUACAAAUCACCACAGUGGAUAGCAGUGCAGCAAUGCACUGUUCUAAAGAACCAUUUGUUUUAGUUAACAACAAACACAACACAACUUUUAACAAUGGAUCUCUAGGCUCUU